ACAAUUCAAACCCCCAAACUUUCUCAGUCGACCCACCAUCAAAACGCACCGUUUCACCAUGCCUUCCUCCGAUUCCUUCUUUUCCGUAAUUUCGCAAUGCACAAUUUACCUCCACCAGAAAUCCACAAUCAAAUCCCUGAAGCUCUCCGUCUCUGAUCUUCCUAUGCUCUCCUGCCACUACAUCCAGAAGGGCGUCCUCCUCGAAUCCCCGUCCUGCUCCUUCGCCGACCUCCUCCCCUCCCUCAAACACUCCCUCUCCCUCGCCCUCUCCCACUUCCCCGCUCUCGCCGGCCGCUUCGAGACCGACGACGACGGCCGCGUCCACAUAGUCUGCAACGACGCCGGCGUCAAUUUCGUCCAUGCCAAAGCCAAGACCCU
Molecule: long non-coding RNA, 378 nt
Filed under: Malus domestica (apple)
Lineage: Eukaryota; Viridiplantae; Streptophyta; Magnoliopsida; Rosales; Rosaceae
Description: long non-coding RNA (MDOM_LNC004016)
Source: RNAcentral